AUUUUGUAUUAAUGAUCUGUUCAAUGAACGGAUUAUUCUAAUUUACUUUUAGCCUUUAAUUUUAGGAUAGAUUUGCAAAGCGUAGAAAAUAAAUAGUUUUGUUGCAAUCACCACAAAAUGCAAUAAUUACGACUGCAGAUUUUCUAGUAGGCUUUACAUAUAUGAACUUUAUUAGAUUGACACCGCUGUUUGUUUCAAUAUACCUCAUCGCUAUUAAUCGUUCUUUAUAGGUGUGUGUGGAGAUUCGAAGUCCAUCACAAAAAUAGUAGAGUUUCAUCAUCAUAGGGAUAGUCAUUACCAGAGGAGAGUUAAGACGUUUGUGAUUUCUAUAAUUCCAAAUUUUGUUGAUAAAGUUUAUGUGAUGGAUAUAUGUUAGAUUAAAAGUUUUGCAGAGUAUUCCUAUCAUUUACUGAAACAUAUAAAAGCAAUAGUGAGUAACACGUUUUUUGUUUUUUGCUGGAAACACAUUAUAUUUGUCGUGAAGAUGAAGUUAAAGCAUCACAUUCCUCUGGCAUUUUUAAAUUGCAAGAAAUCCGCGUGCUAAUCGGACUCAUAGAUAUUUAACGUGUAUUUUAAUGUAUCACCAAUCAGCUUUGAUCCCUUCAGAUAAAGUGUCCAGUUUGGGAUCAUCUGACAGCACUUGACUCAUUUGCUUGCAUUUUCCACAACUGCAGUCAGUUGUAACCUGACGUUCUUACUUUGGUUGAUUGGCCAUAUCUUGGACCAUUGGAUUAGACUCUCCUUGCCGUUUAGCAUCCCGAUGUCUACUGUAAGUAUCCUGUUAGUACCAUAGUUUAAUUCAUAUUAUAAUGCACAUCUCUUUAAACGAGGUUUUCAACAUUUGAUAAACAGAAAUACAUUUAAUACUUUGCAUGUUCUUGGUAAAAGUUUACUGAUAAAUGCUAGAUCUUCCUAUUUCAUUCCACAGCAUACUGACGUAGAUUUAUUAACUUAAAAUAAAAGAAUUUGUUACAACGAAUUGACUUUUCAAUCAACAUAGGAACAUAAAAAAAUUGAAAAUAAUAACAGACAUUGAUAACAAGAUAGCAUUACAGCCGUACAUCAGUGUCAAACAACAAUAUUUUAAUGUCAUACAAUCGUAUUUCAGUGCAAACAAUCGUACUUCAGCGUCAAACAUUCGUACUUCAGCGUCAAACAUUCGUACUUAACCUUCAAACAAUAGUAAAUCAGUGUCAAACCAUCGUACCUCAGUGUGAAAAUAACUGUUAGAACAACAAUAACAAAUCAGAAAUAUGAAAGUUGUUAUCCAUUCGUUUGAUUUGUUUAAGCUUUUGAUUGUAUCGUAUUGAAUUUUCACGGAGUGUGGUAUUUUUGUGUUUGAAUGUCCUUUUGAUAUCUUUAGUCUAUGGUGAUGUUUUAUAUGAGCUUCUCUAUAUCAUCACAAUAAUGAGUCCGAAAUUGAUACACAAUAUAUUUUCAUAGGGAAGUAACUAUCGGUAGAAAUGUAAUUUAACUACCUCAAUAAUUAUGUUGUGGAUCAAACUAUCCAUCAUUUUGAUAAUAUCAUCUUUGAUAUAUUUGAUACUUAAUUUAAUUCAGUUCUUUACCAUGUAUAUUUUUUUCAUGACCUUAAAUAACAAAAGUGUAUCUACGAUUCCCCUUUUUGUAGCUAAUGAUCGUUAAAAUAAGAGGAUGAUUUCGCACUUUCGAUUGAGCUUUAAAUUUCAGAAUAGAAUUGCAAAGCGUAGAUCAAUGCAUAGUUUUGUUAUCGCCUCAAAAUAUAAUAAUCAUAAUUCCAGAUUUUGUAGUAGGCUUUUUAUAUUUUUAAUUUUAAUUUGAUUGACCCAUCUGUUUAAAUAUACCAGACAUCGCUAUUAAUCGUUCUUCAAAGUUGUUUGUGAAGUUUUGAAGUCUAUCAUAUAAAUGGUAAAAUUUCAUCAUAAUGCUUUAUGUCAUUACCGGAGGAGAGCUGAGACGGAUUUGUGAUUUUUAAACUCCCAUCUUAAUUUGAAUAACGUUAAUGUGAUGGAAAAUAAAAUUUAGAAAGGAAAUGGGGAAUGUGUCAAAGCGACAACAACCCGACCAUAGAGCAGACAACAGCGAAGGCACCAAGGUCUUCAAUGUAGCGAGAAUCGCACCGUAGGGUCUUCAGCUUGCCCCUUCAAAAUAUGUACAUGUAUACUAGUACAGUGAUAACGGACGUCAUACUUAACUCCGAAUUAUACACAAGAAACUAAAAUUAGAUUUGAGAUUCAUAGUUUUGCAAUGCAUUCUUAUUCUUAAAUAAGACACACGAAAGCAAUAGUGUUAAAUAUGUUUUUUGUUGCUGGAACACCAUUAUAUUUGUCGUGAAGAUAAAGAUAACGCAUCCACAUCCUCAUUCAUUUUAAAGGGUAAGAAAUCCGCGUGCUCAUCGAACUUCAUAGAUUUUGAACGUGCUUCUGAUUGCAUCAGCGACCAGCUUUGAUCCAGAUUGGGAUCAUCUGACUAAACUUGACUCAUUUGCCUGCAAAUUCCACACCUGUCCCCAUUGGAAACCUUAAGUUCUUAUUUUGAUUGAUUGGCUAAAUUUUGGAACCUUGGAUUUGAACUCUUCUAGCCGUUUAGUAAUACUGAUGUCUUCUGUAAGUAUCAUUGUUUAUACCAUAGUUUAAUAUAGGUUAAAAUGUACACCUCUUUAAAAGAUGUUUGGAACAUUUGAUAAACAAGAAUUCAUUUGAUAUUAUGCAUGAUCUCAGUAAAAGUUUACUGAUCAAUGCUAUAUAGUAUUAUUUCAUUCCUCUGCAUACCCAGUCACGAAGAUUAAUUAAAUUAAAUCCCAAAAUCUGCUCCAAAUUUACUUCUUCAUCGACAUAAGAACAUAAAAAAUAUUGAAAAUGAUAUAAUACAUCGAUGUUUAAUAAGAUAGCAUUACAACCGUACUUUAGUGUAAAACAAUGGUACUUCAGCGUCAAACAAUCGUCAUCAAGCGUACAAAAAUCUUACUUAGGGUCAAACAAUAGUCCAUCAUCGUCAAACUAUUGUACUUCAGUAUGAUCAUAGCGGGUAGAACGACCAUAGCGGUCCAGAAUUAUAUUCAUUUAUAAAUAACAGUUGGUAUUUCUAUAUAUACUUGUUGUGUAUCUUGAUAAAGCAAAUUGAUAUGAUCUAUAAAAAGUAUCAACUUAUAAUGUAAUUUUGGAUUUAUCGCGUCUUCUGAUUGGCUGACGUUGUUUUGUUUAUCAGCUCAUAGACAUAGUUGUGUCAUGAGGCCGUGACAUCAUCAACGUUUUUUCAUGGUCUAUUACGAUUUAAAAUGGAAUUUAUUAUUAAAUUAUAAGAAAUGACUGUAAUAGUUUUUCUGUCUAUUCGAAAUAACAUUAAAAUAUGGUGCAUACUUUAAAAUAACCCGCUACGCGGUUUAUUCAGUGUGCACUACAUUGUUGAUAUUAUUUCUUCAUAGACAGAAAAAUAUUACAGUCGUUCCUUAAAUAAAUUAUAAUAAUAUAGAGAAGUGGUAUGAUUGAAAAUGAGAUAAAUAACAACCAAGGUUCAUAUGAAGUGAAUGUAAGGAAUUUUCGACCAACGAGCGGCCUUCAACUAUGAAAAUCACCAAUACCGUAAAGUCAGCUGUAAAAGACACUGCCACGGUUUCCAAAUAUAAAAGAACGGAAAUAAAAUGCUGCCUAUUAGCUGAAAAAAUAUAUACCAUAUUGUUCAACCAAUUUUCGGUGUAGACAUAUAACUUACAUAGUGUUGAUUAUAAUCGUUUUUCAUCAUUACUGAGGUGGAGCAGUGUUUUGUAUGGAGAGUAUCCUUGUUUUCGAAGAACCGACAGUGUUGAUAUGCACGAGGGCAAGUAUUAAUUCAGAUCUAUAAACAAGAUACAACUGGAAAGAAGAUAUUUUAUUGCCGAGAAAUGGUAGGUAAACAUUUGGAAACUUGAAAUGACUAUUGCGCCA
Molecule: long non-coding RNA, 3902 nt
Filed under: Mytilus galloprovincialis (Mediterranean mussel)
Lineage: Eukaryota; Metazoa; Mollusca; Bivalvia; Mytilida; Mytilidae
Source: RNAcentral